CGGAGGGUGCAAGCGUUGUCCGGAUUUAUUGGGUUUAAAGGGUGCGUAGGCGGCCAUUUAAGUCUGGGGUGAAAGCCCGUUGCUCAACAACGGAACUGCCCUGGAAACUGGAUGGCUUGAGUACAGACGAGGGCGGCGGAAUGGAAGGUGUAGCGGUGAAAUGCAUAGAUACCUUCCAGAACCCCGAUUGCGAAGGCAGCUGCCUAGACUGUAACUGACGCUGAGGCACGAAAGCGUGGGGAGCGAACAGGAUU
RNAcentral lists this ribosomal RNA (254 nucleotides) under uncultured bacterium. RNAcentral describes it as "partial 16S ribosomal RNA". It matches the Rfam family "Bacterial small subunit ribosomal RNA", at positions 526 to 779 of the family's 1533-position model. The record is from RNAcentral.